GAUGAACGCUAGCGACAGGCUUAACACAUGCAAGUCGAGGGGCAGCAUAAAAGUAGCAAUACUUUGGUGGCGACCGGCGCACGGGUGAGUAACGCGUAUGCAACCUACCUAUCAGAGGGGGAUAACCCGGCGAAAGUCGGACUAAUACCGCAUAAAACAGGGGCACCGCAUGGUGAUAUUUGUUAAAAAUUUAUUGCUGAUAGAUGGGCAUGCGUUCCAUUAGGUAGUUGGAGAGGUAACGGCUCACCAAGCCUACGAUGGAUAGGGGAACUGAGAGGUUGGUCCCCCACACUGGUACUGAGACACGGACCAGACUCCUACGGGAGGCAGCAGUGAGGAAUAUUGGUCAAUGGGCGAGAGCCUGAACCAGCCAAGUCGCGUGAAGGAAGAAAGGAUUCUAAUGGUUUCGUAAAACUUCUUUUUGCAGGGGGAAAUAAAAGUGCAGGACGUGUCCUGUUUGUAUGUACCCUGAGAAAUAAGGAUCGGCUAACUCCGUGCCAGCAGCCGUCGGUAAA
This 515-nucleotide ribosomal RNA is filed under the name uncultured bacterium. RNAcentral's name for it is "bacterial SSU rRNA". It matches the Rfam family "Bacterial small subunit ribosomal RNA", at positions 28 to 524 of the family's 1533-position model. The record is from RNAcentral.